GGAAUUACUGGGCGUAAAGAGCUCGUAGGUGGUUUGUCGCGUCGUCUGUGAAAUCCCGGGGCUUAACUUCGGGCGUGCAGGCGAUACGGGCAUAACUUGAGUGCUGUAGGGGAGACUGGAAUUCCUGGUGUAGCGGUGAAAUGCGCAGAUAUCAGGAGGAACACCGAUGGCGAAGGCAGGUCUCUGGGCAGUAACUGACGCUGAGGAGCGAAAGCAUGGGUAGCGAACAGGAUUAGAUACCCUGGUAGUCCAUGCCGUAAACGGUGGGCGCUAGGUGUACGGGGCUUCCACGUCUUCUGUGCCGUAGCUAACGCAUUAAGCGCCCCGCCUGGGGAGUACGGCCGCAAGGCUAAAACUCAAAGGAAUUGACGGGGGCCCGCACAAGCGGCGGAGCAUGUGGAUUAAUUCGAUGCAACGCGAAGAACCUUACCUGGGCUUGACAUGUACCGGAUCGGGCUAGAGAUAGUCUUUCCCUUGUGGUCGGUAUACAGGUGGUGCAUGGUUGUCGUCAGCUCGUGUCGUGAGAUGUUGGGUUAAGUCCCGCAACGAGCGCAACCCUUGUCUUAUGUUGCCAGCACGUUAUGGUGGGAACUCAUGAGAGACUGCCGGGGUUAACUCGGAGGAAGGUGGGGAUGACGUCAAAUCAUCAUGCCCCUUAUGUCCAGGGCUUCACACAUGCUACAAUGGUCGAUACAAUGGGCAGCGACAUCGUGAGGUGAAGCGAAUUCCUGAAAGUCGGCCUUAGUUCGGAUUGGGGUCUGCAACUCGACCCCAUGAAGUCGGAGUCGCUAGU
This 793-nucleotide ribosomal RNA is filed under the name uncultured bacterium. Its description in RNAcentral is "bacterial SSU rRNA". It matches the Rfam family "Bacterial small subunit ribosomal RNA", at positions 547 to 1339 of the family's 1533-position model. The record is from RNAcentral.